UACGUAGGUCCCGAGUGUUGUCCGGAUUUAUUGGGCGUAAAGCGAGCGCAGGUGGUUUAUUAAGUCUGGUGUAAAAGGCAGUGGCUCAACCAUUGUAUGCAUUGGAAACUGGUAGACUUGAGUGCAGGAGAGGAGAGUGGAAUUCCAUGUGUAGCGGUGAAAUGCGUAGAUAUACGGAGGAACACCGGUGGCGAAAGCGGCUCUCUGGCCUGUAACUGACACUGAGGCUCGAAAGCGUGGGGAGCAAACAGG
Molecule: ribosomal RNA, 252 nt
Filed under: uncultured bacterium
Lineage: Bacteria
Description: partial 16S ribosomal RNA
Rfam family: Bacterial small subunit ribosomal RNA
Source: RNAcentral